UACAUUUUGUGGCAUUUCGAAACAAACACCAGAAAUUUGCAUGUGAGAACGUGUUAGAAAGAUGAAAAAGAUGAAUUUUUCAAACACUGCAAAAAAUAUCUUAAGGAGAGAGAGUUUGUCCCCAAGUGUAGUAAAAGGUUACGAGGUGAAAUAUCAGCUGAGGGCAUGGUUUAACAGGAGCGUAUGGGAUAGGCUAAUUAGCAUAGCACACCUACUGUGUUUGCAGCAACAUACAGUAAAUAAGCUGAAAUUCAAGUUCAUCCUGAUUUGGCUGGAUCCUUGAGUACCUUCAGUAACUAUUAUGAAUGAUUCAAUCGGAAGGAAACAUGUAUAAAAUUUGUGUAGGUAAGAGAAUGCACGUGUGAACGCACUGGGGGUUUAAUCGGGAAUGAAGGAAAUUAUUUUACAUUAUUUUUUUUACAUUAUUACAAUGUACAACUUUACAUUAUUUUUUUUGUAAAAUAUUAUCAUGGUGCACUUAAAAAUGUUAUCGUCUUGCGUUAUAAAGUUCUUGCAAAUUUCUAACCUUCUGCAGCUCAUUUUCAUUCAAAUCACAGAACUGCAGAGAAAUGUACACUUUUUUAAAAACAAUUCUAUUUGAUUUUAUUCUAAUUUUGAUCUAAGAUAAGACAACACUUUAUUGACACUGCAUUUUAUUAUUCCCAAGGGGAAAUUAGAGGUGAGAUAACACCUCUAGGGAAAUCAUAGUGAGAUUGGCCGAGGAGGCGUGGAUCGGCUGAAGACUCCUGAACAUCACAGCCAUGUGUGGGCCUUCCCCAAACUGUUGCCACAAAGUUGUAAUCACACAAUUGUAUAGGAUGUCUUUGUAGACUGUAGCAUUACAAUUUCCCUUCACUGGACCUAAGGGGCCAGCCCAAACAGGUUCCAACAAAAAAAUUCCGCUGUGCAAAAAGCAAGGUCCAUAAAGACAUGGUUAGAGGUUGCAGUGCAAGAACUCGAGUGGCCUGCACAGAGCCCUGACCUCAAAAUGAAAGCCAGAGGCUAUGGUGGCAAGGAAAAGCUCCCUGAGAUGACAUGAGGAAGAAACUUUGAGAGGUACCAGACUCAAAAGGGAAUCCAUCAUCUUCUGGGUGACACCUGAUACUGUCAUUAUUUGUCAUUACUCUUCCACAACAGUAUACCGUUAAAGUGAAAUUAUCCACUGUUCAAGUGUAGUCUUUAGGGCUUUCAUGCAAGAAAAUCCACAGACAUCUUCAGGGUAUCCAUGUGGUACCAUCCACAGCAGUUUCAUGGCAAACUUUAGGCUAGCCUUAUGGGGCCAACCUCAGCAGCAAGUGAUGCCAUUAUAUAUCAAGCUCUUCACAUGAGCCUUCCCUAGGGCUGGGGUAAAUGUAAAUUAAUAACUUAAGGUGUUAGUCAAUAGGCUUACUGUUAAUAGAUGCAAAUUGUUUUAGAAGAUUCAUUUAGGGCAUUGUUUUUCUAUAUACACCAUUAGUGUUGCCACUUUUUUUUCCAUUUAAAAAUAACAUUGCAAUGCUUUUCAUGGAAUUGGAAUGCACAGAUUUGUUAGCCAGAUCCUCAAGAUCAAGUUCCUCAAGUCUAGUGUGCACUGAAAAGCUACAGUCGGGUCCAUAAUUAUUUGGACAGUGACACAAUUUUUGUAAUUUUGGCCCCGUACACCACAACAAUGGCUUUGAAAUGAAGCAAUCAAUAUGGGAUUUAAGCGUAGACUCAGCUUUAAUUCAGGGAGUUUAACAAAAAAUAUUGCAGUAACUGUUUAGUAAUUACAGCCAAUUUUCUAUAAUGAAAGAUAGAUUAUAUCUAUUGACAUAGGACACUGAUUAUAUUCCUGAUUACGUUCCUGUGUCUGAGCAUUUAGGUUAAGAUAAAACUCUAAAUUGACUCAUGGCCCAUUUUUAUUGGCCGGGCAUUCUCAGCGAUGUACACAGUUUGUGUGUUUUGUGCUGUAAAUGUCAGCUGGUGAAUCAACUGGCCACCCCAAAAGUGCCAUUGCGCCUCCUUCCAUUGAUUGAGGUCCCAUUGAAAGAAUUGGUAUGGACCUCAUCAGGCCAUUAGAAUGGAGUGAAUGAGGGUAUCGCUUUGUGUUAUUUGAGGUAGACCAUAUGUGUUAGUAGGUAUUAAGUCGAUUCACACCAGCAUUUACCAUCUGCAAAUGGAUGGCUUGGUUGAGUGAUUUAAUAAAAUGCUUAAACAAAUGAUUUGUAAGUUCAUACAGUGAGGACUCUCAGAAUUGGUAUAGGUGGCUCUAACUGGUAUUAUUUAUGGUACAAGAGAUCCCACAAGACUCCACAGGUUCUCCAUCUUUUAAUUAUUAUAUGGGCACAAGCCUUGUGGCAUUUUGGACGUUGUUAGAGAAAACUGGGAGGAGGGACCUUCAGAGAGUAAAAACGAAAUUCAGUAUGUUCUUGACCUGAGAGCAAAUCUCCACACAUUGGGACUAACACAAUCUCCAAUGCAAUUUUCAACUAACAAAAUUUUCAAUCUCUUUCAGAGAUAAAGUGCUUAUACUUCUACCCAUGUCAAGUUCCAAACUGCUCACGAAGUGGCAAGGACCCUUUGAGGUCACACAGCAAGUCGGGGAGGUCUGGCAACAGACUGGGACUGAUGAGUCAGACAGGGGGCUAGAGGCCAUGUUCUCCCAGGUGGUGGAGGGGGAGAAGUGCCCCGUGCUGUACAUCAGCAGGAAGCUCUAGGUGGGGGAAUGUAGGUACAUCACAAUCGAAAAACAGUGCAUGGCCAUCAAGUGGGCAGUCCUCACCCUCCGAUACUAUCUGCUGGGAAGGGCCUAGGGUCAGCAGAGCAGGGCCUUGCAGGUGGAGACGUGCACAGACGACUACUGUGUUUAAUUGUUUCCAUUUGACUAAAUUUAAAAGUGAGAGCCUAAAGAAUUGCAUGCUUGUGCCAGCCACAACUGGGUGUUGUAUUUUUGGCCAAGAAGUUUGAAACAAUAUUAAAUAAUGUUUUUGUCACCCCCCAGUCUCUCCUGCCUAUUUGUCUAAGCUCCAAAGGUUCUGUUCUUGCUAUAGUGGCUAAUGCACAAAUGUUUAUGAGCAUUUUAGUGUUCUAAGUCAUAUUAUCAUAUUAUCAUAUUAUAUAUUGAUUUACAGUUCUUAUUAGGAUUAAAACAUGUAGGAAUCUUAUACUGCCUCUGUACCAAGCACAUACAAUACAGGAGUCCAGCUUUGAUAUUAUUGCCAAGUGUCUGAACAUGCAGGAUUGCCACAAUGAUUAUAUGAUUUAUCAGUAUGUUGUAAAUUUCAGCAGGUGAAUAGGGUAACUCUUUAGCAAUAGUAUGUUUUCUUAUUAGAGGUCCAAACCUGGAAGGAGCAGGAAUUUUAUAGAGCUUGUAUGUACAUUUAUUUCUACAUUUAUUUAUAUCUGUAUUUCAACAUUUCUUCAUUUCUUUAUUUCUGUGUCUAUAUGUUAAUUGGGUGGGUCGUCCUAACCUUAGUCUAAAGCAGAACUGGUCAGCUGGGUGACCCAGACAGAAGCAACUGAAUCUUAUCAAAUCGACAUGUCUUAAGAUAGCUAUGAUAACCUUCUGUUAGGUGGAGGCGGUUGACAGCACUGGGGUGUGACUGAAGUGGAGAUGGAAGGAAGUGGGGUAGUUUCGGGAAGUGAUCCUGAAACGGAAGGAUUGGAUGGCAGGGAAUUAAAAGGGGUAGUAAAUAGUAAUUGGACCUUAGUGGAGAAUCGUAAAAGAAAGAAAAAUUGGAGUCAGUCAUCCGGAACUGAUAGUGAAAGAGAGAAUCAACAGGUUAGAAGCUGGAAAGAAGAACACUAGUUAUUGAUAAAAAUUUCUGUCAGAAUCAGAGGAUCAGAAGACAUUAAACCCAAUUAAAGUAACCAAAGCAUUGAAGGAAGCAGUUGGUCAGAUUGAAAGUGCAAAAAUGAUGCAAGAUGGAAGACUGCUGUUGUUUUGUAAAGACAUGGAACAACAAAAAGCAGCAGUAGAGUUAAAAUCUCUUUUAGGAAUUAAAGUAUCAAGUACAGUGAUGGGUAAUAGGGGUUAUUACAGAGGUUCCAAAUGAUGUAUCAAUUGAAUCAGUCAAGCGAAACCUAUUGGGGCGGCACCAAUAUGUGCCUGUAUUAUAAGAAGGGAUGAGAUGGAGUCACAUCCAUUGAGUCCGUGUUUAGCCCCCAAUUCUAAGCUAACAUUGGCGCUGUUAAUGCGCUGUUAAACUUUGAUAUUGUUACCUAUAAUGUUGUUGUUGUGUUUCUAUUCUGUUUGUAUCAUAAGAAUGAGUGAGACUAAGUUACAUGUGCUCAAUCUGUUGAAGCCAAUGUCAAGAUAAGUUAAGUUGAUAAUGUGUAAUAUUAUACUAUUGUGAUAAUUGAAACGUUAUUGCUGGUGAGAUAAUGUCAUGUUUGUAUUAGGUCAACUGAUACGAACUAGAUUAUUUGUGUAUAUCCAAAAGAGUGAAACAUUAUAUUCAUGAUGGUGCACAUUUCAUGUGAGUUAUUUGUAGCUGGUUGUUUUGCCCCUCACUCUAAUACAAGCUGUCCUGUUUGCUGUUAUUAUUAGAGAGUGCAUAAUGUCAUAUGCCAAUUGAUGCUCAUCUUGUAUUAGUUGCUUUGUAACUUAUUAUAAUAUGGGUUACUUUGUGUAUAAAGAGAAUGCUGUUGGAGGCACCGCUGGGAUGGUCAAAGUAAGGCUGGUGUCCUGUAAUGGAGGUGGUCACCCCACAUCAACCAUCAUACAAAACUACAAAACAGGCGGUAGGCAGUGCAGUGCAUCGGCUAAGGAAGUGGUGGGAGCCCAGCCCAGGGAAGUGUGCAUCCUGAGGUGCUGUUUCCACUAAGGAACCAAUAAUGACCAGGCAAGGCGAAACACAAACCCAUAACUAUGCAUGUUACUCGUAUGCCAAGAUGGAUUCAGAGGUUAAAAACCUGUGAUUUGAGAUUAAAGGAUUGUUGUUUCAACUUCCCAUUGAGCAGUUAAAAUUUCAGCAAUGAAAAUGAGGUUAAAGUAGAUGAUGAACAAGCCAAAUUGAAGAGAGAAUUAGGGAGCUUAAGACUGGCAGUACAACAGAAGGAAAUUGAGAUGCAGAACUGGCAACUAGGAAAAUUAAAAACAGAGGUGAUGGUGAAAUUGUACAAAGGUAAAUGACACAGGUAAAUAGCUCCAUUUGGCAAAAAGACUAUAAAAUCUCAGGCCAGACUGGUGAACCAGGGCACAAGAACCAACUCACUUUCUAUAGUUUAGCUCGCCAAAUUGAGAAUGGCCUUAGCAGAGGGUAUUCUAAGACAGAAAUAGUGGAUGCUGUUAUCACAGCCAUUGUCUGCAACUGCGGAGCUAGUACCUUGAAUGUAAAAGUGAUCUGUCUCUGCCUACACUUAGGAGAAUACUCCGCUCGGACUACCAGGAACAGAGUGCAAACAGUGUACCACAGAGGUACAAAACAUUAAGGAUACUCUGCAGAACUUUUUAAUUAGACCAAUGGACGUAAGGCAGAAGAUGCUGUUUACCACACAAGAGGCACAGUCCAAUCUAAAGUAUGAUCCUGUGUUUAUGUUGAGGUUUAUGCACACCAUACUUACAGGUUUACAGAAUGAUAACAUCAAUAAUGACCUCCAACCCUACCUGUUGUAGCGUACCAUCUCAGAUGAGUUGCUCCUAGAUAGACUUAAUAUAGCAUGUGGCCAUUAGAAAGAGAGACAAGAUAAGAGGCGGCAGACACCACAGCGACAGGCUAAUAUGCAUGCUGUACAAUCCAGUGACACCAGUGUGUGUAUGGUAUUGUUAAAAGAUCUCAAAACCGAGACAGCACAGAUCUGAGAGUCCAUCCAGUGGCAGUGCUGGCUCAAGGCUAGUGGUGGCACCAGCCCAGUUCCACACCACAGAGAUACAUACGUGGGGUGAGUAGAAGUGACCAUUAGACUGGUUGGUGAUGCUGAAGAGUUUUAUGUUCCCAUGCUCAUCAUAACGGGCAACCGUCAGCCUCAUCCUAUAAUCGGCUUCAUUGUAAUUGAGCGUGUUGUGAUCAAUAGUCAGACAGAGGAAGGAAAUAUUAAAGAGGAAGAAAAACUAAUCAGAAUGGUUACAAAGGCUGUCCCUAACUUACAGAAAAAAACAGCCAGAGCAUUCAUUAAGGCAGUGAUUGUUGAACAGUCCAGUGAACACCUAGUGAGAACACCUUGUCACAUAGUGAAUUGUAUAGAGCUAUAAUGCUAUGCAAGUAAAGUACCGAGUACAUACUAAGCCCCUGAAAGAGGACACCAUGUUAGUUUUUGAACCUGAUAACAAGCCCCAGUGGCCAGUAGGUAGCAACGAGACUGGAUAUGCCAAAGAUCAGGAGGUGAGUGUAAACCUCAGGGACCCCCGGUAGAUCUAAGACACCUAGAUGAAGAGAAGAGACAAAUAGUUUGUGAGAUGCUGAGGAAAGAGUCGGCCUGUUUGUCCCAGUCUGACAAUGACAUAGGCUGCAUUGAAAAGUUACGGCUAAAAAUCUCUUUGAGAGACCAAGAGCUGGUGGCAUGGACCUACAUGUCAGUCCCCAAGCCCCUAUAUGAGGAGAUGCAUGACUUAAUGGCACAGCGGUGGAUAGAGAAAUCCCAUUCUGUGUAUGCUUCCCCAGUGGUUUGUGUCAGAAAAAAAUUUGGCUUCCUAUGCCUUUGUAUCGAUUAUAGGGAGCUAAACCGCAAGACACACAGCCGUAAGGAAGCCGAUCUCUAGAGUCCAGGAUGUGAUGGAUGGCCUUGGAGGUAACACCAUGUUUUCGCUGCUGGAUCAAGGAAAAGCCUAUCACCAGGAAUUCAUGCCAAAGGACAGCAAGCAUCUAACAGCCUUCAUAACCCCCUGGGGAUUGUAUCAAUGGGUCAGGAUAUCCUCAGGGCUUAUGAAUACACCGGCGGCCUUUCAGCGCUGUAUGGAAAAGUGUUUAGAGGAACUCCGUGAUAAGAUCUGCAUCCCGUACCUAGACAAUACCCUUGUAUUCGGUAAAACAUUUGAAAGUCAUGUCAGCAAUGUCACAAAAGUUGAAAUUGAAACCCAGCAAGUGUGAGGUAUUUAGUACUGAGAUUCGUUACCUUGGAAAGAUAGUAUCCAUUGAAGGAAACAAAAUGGACCCCACUGACACUUCUGCUAUCAGGAUUCUGAAAGGGAAGAGACCAGGCACAGUUGGUGAGUUGAGACAGGUGAUGGGGUUGUUAAGCUACUAUUGUCAGUACGUAAAGGACUUACCAUUAUGACCCUACUAAAGGGCCUGCCAUGGUAACAGAGGAGACAGACACACAGAAACCUCACCCAAAGGGGAGGCUGUCCAAUAGGAAGGGAAAUGCAAAAGUAGAUGGUCUAACAGAUUCUUGAGAAACUAACAGACUGCCUGGUUCAGCCCCCAGUCCUUGCAUUUCCAGAUUUUUCUCAGCCCUUUGUUUUACAUACAGAUGCAUCUAACAAGGGACUUGAAGCCAUACUCUAUCAGAAACAAAGUGGAAAGCCCAGUGUGAUUCCGUAUGGGUCAUGGGCAUCGUCAGCAUCGGAGAGAAACUAUCACCUCCACUAAGGUAAAUUGGAAUUUCUUGCUCUUAAAUGGGCAAUAACUGAGAGGGUCUGUGACUACCUUUACUAUGCUCCCUUUUUCACUGUCUACAGUGAUAAUAAUCCAUUGACGUAUGUUUUGCCCACCGCUAAAAUAAAUGCUACUUUAAGUAGAUAGGUGGCAGAAUUAGCCAACUUCAAUUUUACUAUCAAGUAAAGCCCAAGCAAAGAAAAUAUAGACACUGAUUGUCUGUCCAGGAUACCGCUGAAUGCAGAGACACUGAUGGAUGAGUGCACAGAGGAAAUAUCCUGUGAUGCAGUGGGAGCAACUGUUCACUCGCUGGGGCUACAGUCAGAGGGGACUGCAGCAUGGUCAAUGGCCAUAUCUGUUGAGGAUGUAUUUGUGUCCCAGGACACCUCCAUUGUUUUGCUAGCACCAGGACAGAUACGACAAGACCAGGAAGAAGACCCACAUAUUGGACCAGUGUUACAGUGUAUGUUGUCUAGAGUAAGGCCCUCGUUUCACGAGCUGGAAGGAUUCAGUGCACAGAGUCUGUGCUUAGCCAGGGAACUGGACAAACUGGAAGUGGAUGAACAAGGAAUUCUAUGGAGGAAGAUUACACACAGGAAACAACUGGUAAUACCUGACAAACACAAGUCCACAGAGUUGAGAGAGCUACACGACCAAAUGGGAUAUCAGGGCACUAAUAGAAUGAUAUCUUUGAUUAGGGAUUGCUUCUUUAGUCCAUAUAUGCUGCGUGAGAUGUAACAGCAUGUGAUGGGCUGUACAUGCUUGAAACAAAAAAGCGAGGCGUGAAACUAGAACACAUCUUGUAAGUAUCACCACCGCCCAGCCAUUUGAACUUGUGUCUGUUGAUUUCCUCCACACUGACAAGUGUAAAGGCGGCUACUAGUAUAUAUUAGUGAUUGUAGAUCAUUUCAUCCACUUUGUGCAGGCGUACCCAACCACAUCCAAGGCAGGAAAGGUAGUAGCAGACAAAAUAUUCAAAGAUAAUGCUCUCAAGUUUGCAUUUCCAAUGCGUAUUCACCGCGAUCGAGAUGAGUUUGAAAACCAACUCUUUUCACAACUCAGCAGUGUGGCUUGCUCAAGAACUACCCCUUACCACCCACAGUGGAAUGGCCAAGUAGAACAUUUUAAUCAAACCUUGCUGCAGAUGCUUAAGACUCUCACAGACAAAGACAAGACCAAUUGGAAGAAUUCUCUAUAAUAAGAUUAUAUUCACUUAUAACUGUACAUGUACUGAAGUAACAGGCUUUCCCUGUUUUACCAUUUGUAUGGCCGCUCAUCGAGAUUACCAGUCGACAUGUUGUUCAACCUUUCAGCUGAUGCAGGCAGAGGCAGUACCAUAGCUAUGCGGAACACUGGAGGCAAGGAAUGCAAGAAGCAUACACUAUUGCAAGUGAAAUUGCACACAAAGCCACACGGAGAAAUAAGAGGAAUUAUGAUGGCUGAGUACGGAGCACAAUAUUGAAUUUUGGUGACCGUGUGCUAGUCUGAAACUUGACACCCUGAGGAGGACCUGGAUAAUUGCGAAAUCACUGGGAAGACACCUUUCAUGUUGUAGUGAAGUGGGAAAGGAUGUUCCUAUUUAUGAACUGAGACUUGAACACAGGAAAGGGAGAUCAAGAGUCAUGCACCCAACUCACCUGUGAUUGGGGAGGAUAUAGUUGAAACCCAAAUGAUGGAGGAAGCACCACAGCUCUCAGGAAGUAGUCAGGGAAGUGAAAUAGAGCCAAAGCCUCAAUGACCCCAUAGCGAACGUAGACUGCCAAAGAUCUUCAAAUAUGACAAAAUUGGGUCUCCCUCCUGUUAUUAUCUGACUGCACUCUCUGUUCAUACAUUGCCCCAAGUGUGGAUAUAUCAGGUGCAACCUUACUAUCACCAGCCUGUCUACUCAUAUGGGAUGUACGUUGGUUCAAUGUUCAUCUGACAGUUGAAGAGACCCUCAGACCCCUGAAACAAAAUUUAGUGUUGUUGAUUACCAGCCCAUGAACAAUUAAUACACAUCACAAAUUUCAGAACUUGGAACAGUACUGAAUGUAGUAGUUAAAGAGACUCUUGCUCAGAGACUUGGAACAAAACUGAGCGUGACUGAUCACAAGUAUAUGGACAUUUGAUGUGCACGACACAUUCCACAACUCAUAACAGUAACGAGUGUAGUUGAUACCAAAUGUGUACCCUUCCAGUUUAGGACUUCGUAAAUGCUGGAUGAUUCAGACAAACUAAAAUUGACAAGUUGAUGCUGGGACCAGGAGACAAAACUGAAUGUAUAAAAAGAGUUCCAGUCUGUAACCAAUAUGUGCAAUAUAUUGAACUGAAUUGAUAUAUUCAUGUUGGGACCUGGAGACAAAAUUGACUGUAUCAAAAGAGUUCCAGUCUGUAACCAGUCUGAUUUAUGCUUAAGGGUACUGAGAUAUUGAUGUUGAGGACAACGUCUGACUUUGGGGGGGAGUAUGUAACAAGUUGAACAAAUAAAUAAAAAUGUUAUUAUCUUUCUCGAUAAUA
Molecule: long non-coding RNA, 9989 nt
Organism: Pangasianodon hypophthalmus (striped catfish)
Lineage: Eukaryota; Metazoa; Chordata; Actinopteri; Siluriformes; Pangasiidae
Exons: 2
Source: RefSeq, a predicted model, not a curated record